AGCUGCGGCAGCGAACGUAUCACCCAAGACAACUUUACGGAGUUGACGAUUGACGGAGCGAAGCGACGUCAAAGCGUUCAUUAAAGUCGAGUUGGCUUAGGGAUACGUUCGUUGGGUAGGGGAGCGUUCUGUAAGCCUGUGAAGGUGUGUCGUGAGGCAUGCUGGAGGUAUCAGAAGUGCGAAUGCUGACAUAAGUAACGAUAAAGCGGGUGAAAAGCCCGCUCGCCGGAAGACCAAGGGUUCCUGUCCAACGUUAAUCGGGGCAGGGUGAGUCGACCCCUAAGGCGAGGCCGAAAGGCGUAGUCGAUGGGAAACGGGUUAAUAUUCCCGUACUUGGUGUUACUGCGAAGGGGGGACGGAGAAGGCUAUGUUGGCCGGGCGACGGUUGUCCCGGUUUAAGCGUGUAGGUGUGUGUUCCAGGUAAAUCCGGUUCACUUUAACACUGAGGCGUGACGACGAGGCACUACGGUGCUGAAGCAACAAAUGCCCUGCUUCCAGGAAAAGCCUCUAAGCAUCAGGUAACAUCAAAUCGUACCCCAAACCGACACAGGUGGUCAGGUAGAGAAUACCAAGGCGCUUGAGAGAACUCGGGUGAAGGAACUAGGCAAAAUGGUGCCGUAACUUCGGGAGAAGGCACGCUGACACGUAGGUGAAGUGAUUUACUCAUGGAGCUGAAGUCAGUCGAAGAUACCAGCUGGCUGCAACUGUUUAUUAAAAACACAGCACUGUGCAAACACGAAAGUGGACGUAUACGGUGUGACGCCUGCCCGGUGCCGGAAGGUUAAUUGAUGGGGUCAGCGCAAGCGAAGCUCCUGAUCGAAGCCCCGGUAAACGGCGGCCGUAACUAUAACGGUCCUAAGGUAGCGAAAUUCCUUGUCGGGUAAGUUCCGACCUGCACGAAUGGCGUAAUGAUGGCCAGGCUGUCUCCACCCGAGACUCAGUGAAAUUGAACUCGCUGUGAAGAUGCAGUGUACCCGCGGCAAGACGGAAAGACCCCGUGAACCUUUACUAUAGCUUGACACUGAACAUUGAGCCUUGAUGUGUAGGAUAGGUGGGAGGCUUUGAAGUGUGGACGCCAGUCUGCAUGGAGCCGACCUUGAAAUACCACCCUUUAAUGUUUGAUGUUCUAACGUGGACCCGUAAUCCGGGUUGCGGACAGUGUCUGGUGGGUAGUUUGACUGGGGCGGUCUCCUCCUAAAGAGUAACGGAGGAGCACGAAGGUUGGCUAAUCCUGGUCGGACAUCAGGAGGUUAGUGCAAUGGCAUAAGCCAGCUUGACUGCGAGCGUGACGGCGCGAGCAGGUGCGAAAGCAGGUCAUAGUGAUCCGGUGGUUCUGAAUGGAAGGGCCAUCGCUCAACGGAUAAAAGGUACUCCGGGGAUAACAGGCUGAUACCGCCCAAGAGUUCAUAUCGACGGCGGUGUUUGGCACCUCGAUGUCGGCUCAUCACAUCCUGGGGCUGAAGUAGGUCCCAAGGGUAUGGCUGUUCGCCAUUUAAAGUGGUACGCGAGCUGGGUUUAGAACGUCGUGAGACAGUUCGGUCCCUAUCUGCCGUGGGCGCUGGAGAACUGAGGGGGGCUGCUCCUAGUACGAGAGGACCGGAGUGGACGCAUCACUGGUGUUCGGGUUGUCAUGCCAAUGGCACUGCCCGGUAGCUAAAUGCGGAAGAGAUAAGUGCUGAAAGCAUCUAAGCACGAAACUUGCCCCGAGAUGAGUUCUC
RNAcentral lists this ribosomal RNA (1718 nucleotides) under Salmonella enterica subsp. enterica serovar Typhimurium. Its description in RNAcentral is "partial 23S ribosomal RNA". It matches the Rfam family "Bacterial large subunit ribosomal RNA", at positions 1198 to 2813 of the family's 2925-position model. Lineage: Bacteria; Pseudomonadati; Pseudomonadota; Gammaproteobacteria; Enterobacterales; Enterobacteriaceae. The record is from RNAcentral.